RNAcentral lists this ribosomal RNA (508 nucleotides) under uncultured bacterium. Its description in RNAcentral is "partial 16S ribosomal RNA". It matches the Rfam family "Bacterial small subunit ribosomal RNA", at positions 30 to 523 of the family's 1533-position model. The record is from RNAcentral.
AUUGAACGCUGGCGGCAGGCCUAACACAUGCAAGUCGAGCGGCAGCGGGAAAGUAGCUUGCUACUUUUGCCGGCGAGCGGCGGACGGGUGAGUAAUGCCUGGGAAAUUGCCCAGUCGAGGGGGAUAACAGUUGGAAACGACUGCUAAUACCGCAUACGCCCUACGGGGGAAAGCAGGGGACCUUCGGGCCUUGCGCGAUUGGAUAUGCCCAGGUGGGAUUAGCUAGUUGGUGAGGUAAUGGCUCACCAAGGCGACGAUCCCUAGCUGGUCUGAGAGGAUGAUCAGCCACACUGGAACUGAGACACGGUCCAGACUCCUACGGGAGGCAGCAGUGGGGAAUAUUGCACAAUGGGGGAAACCCUGAUGCAGCCAUGCCGCGUGUGUGAAGAAGGCCUUCGGGUUGUAAAGCACUUUCAGCGAGGAGGAAAGGUUGAUGCCUAAUACGUAUCAACUGUGACGUUACUCGCAGAAGAAGCACCGGCUAACUCCGUGCCAGCAGCCGCCGCCG